CUAUGAAACCCACAUGGUAAAGUCCAUGGUGUUCAGUUUAUCUUCUUAAAAAAGUUGUUGGGAUGAGCUCACCCUGCCAAGGUUCAUCUGUGUCACAGCCCACAUAGAAAUUAAAGCAACAAAGUGAAUGGAAGAGGAUCUUCAGCUGAUAUUGCAACUGGUGCAAUGGGAGAUAACCCUAAGAAAAAUAUGAUUGGGAAAAAAAAAAAAAAGGUUAACAAGGCUUCUUUUGCUUCUGCAACCUGAGCAGUAUCUGGAUCUGGCAUUAUUCUACAUUAGUAUUUUAUGCACAUUCCUUACAAUUAUGAGCAUCUUGGCAACCCAUGCAAGAAGAUAUGGAAAAAGACACCCUGACUUGUCUAAAACAAGUGUUAAAGAAAAAUAGUCUUCUGACUCAGUUUCUUGCUUAGCUAAAUGAAAGUAAUACAAAUCUUGGGGUCCAGGUCCAAUAUAAUUCUGUGUCUAUGCUCCCGGGACAGGGAUUUCCCCUAGGAAGCCAAAGAAAAGUUAAGGACAACUUUCCUCAUCCGGUAGACUUGCUGGAAUAAAUAGAGAUGAGUGGAAAUUAUCUGUACCAUUUCAAGGACUGCAUAGUGACGAUACCGACUUAGUUUUAAAAUACUUUCAGUUGUAUUAUUUUAAUAAGCAGUACUGAAAGGUAUUUUAUAGUUCUGAUAUCACCACAGAGAUAUUAACUCCAAAAAGUAUUCAGAUGAGCAUUCUGGCAAUUAAUGGCAAGUAUAAACUACCAACCGUACAAGAACCAAAUAUUUAAGCAUGACUAGACUGAUACCUCAGCUAAAAUAUUAAUAUAAUCAGAAAACACAAAUUAGAUUCAAAGGAUCCCCCAUAUAGCUGGUACUUUUGAAUCACAUAUGGGAAUGCAGUCCUGCCCACUGAAUGAUGGGCAAUUACAUUCUCCAUUAAUAUGUGUAAUACCUGCCACAUAUCAGAGAGAGAAUGUGUGUGUGUAUGUGGACAUAAAAUCACCGGAAUUUUAGUGUUUUCCACUUAAAAGAAAUGGUUACAUUUUAGUUUAGUGAGGAAGCCUAUUACAGUGUACAAAUUCCUUCAUUUCUCUUUUCCUUUUUUCUGUGGUUUAUGUCAAACAUUUUAAAGUAUUAAUGAAAAUGCUGUAAAAGCCAUAAUGUUAAAGUAUAAUUUUAUUUAAGAUUGUUUUACAUUAUAAGAACUAUAAACAGGCACCUGUAAACUUAUACAAGCAGUUAUUUUGAGAUCUGAGCUGUGUUUUUAUUUCUUUUAUGAUUGUAAAUAGAAGAUAGGUUGUUUUGGGUUUUUUAGAGUUAUUUUAUAAUUUUAACAUACUAGCUGCUCACUCUCAAGGAUUGUUUUAAGAUAUAAAUGGCAGCAGUCUGUAAAUUACCUUGAUCAUCAGCGAUCAACAAAAACAAGUUAAAUCCUUUUCUGUGGGUUUCCAAAGUGACCUUUAUGUCUUCUCAAUAAUUUAUUUGAAUUUCAUUUUAAUACGCUUUAUUAUAAUAAUUGUAAAGUUCUGAUAACCAUGAUCUACAGCCAAGUGAAAUCCAAGCAAUUGUGGCAUGGGUGCUUUCACUGUAGAACCUCUGGUGUUCCAGUCCUGGAUCUCUGACCAGUUCCCUGAUUUUUGCCUGAUAUUGUUAUGAUGGUAAAAGAAGUUCUAAAAAAAAGUCAGGUUUUUUUAAUGUAAUAAUGGUAAACCAAUCCUGAGCUUGAUCCAAUACUCUCCAGACUAGUUAGACUUUCAAACACACUUUUAUUGUGGGCUUCAAGAAGAUUUGAGGCUUGUUUUUUAGAGUAAAAGGUAUGCUUUUAAUUGGUUUAUACCACGAGUAUAAUUGAGGAGCAAAUCAAGGGAGUAGCACAAAUGUUACUGCCGUUUUUUCUCAUGUAUUUCUCACCUGCAGCGGGGACAGGAGGCAUCCCAGCCCACUCCAUUUUUCCCCACCUCAGCAUCAGUCUGUCCCGAGGCUGGGAAUGGAAUAAUUCCUCCUGUGGUCACCCCCCACACACAGACCAAAAUAGCAAACGCUUCUCACCAGAACUGUAUCUUGCCUCUUCAUGUUACCAUUUGUGGGUAAUUCUGAAAAAUAAUCGUGUCAAAUUUAGAGAAGGGUUACUGAAGUGCUUUCCCAAAACAACGUAGCAUCAGUAAGGUCUUAUUUUUCUUUAGGAAAAAAGUACAAUUUACAUCUGGAAAUUUAUGUGGAGGAGCGCUCAAGGCCUAUAUUCAAUAAGUAUCUCCUUCUGCCUGCCAUUGUAAUAGGAUCAAAUAUUCUAAGAAUUUAUUUUUUUAAAUCUUCAAUAAUUUGAGAGAAUGUGAAAAUUAUGCAAAUCAUGCAGUAAAAACUUGGUGCCAUAUAUGAAGAAUUAGUACAAAAACCCUAAGUCUUCAGCAACAUCUUAGUUAUCAGUCAUUGAUUUUUAUUUUUAUAAAACUGUAGCUGGAAGAGAGAAAACAUGAGGGUAAACAGAAAUGCAAAAAUAUGCUAUUUUUUUCCUUUUUAAUACCAAAAAAGAACUCUCUCUUACGAUAUCCACAACUUCUAAUUUCUUGUCACACUUUAAAUUCUUCUCCGUUAUGAUAUUUUUUAUGGAAUGAGAAGAGAUAAUGGCACCAACAAGAGCCCAUGACAAAGGACACGGUGUUAUACUUCUUAAAAUAAAGCAGGAGACAUUUGAUCUCAUUUUCUCAAUGUAAAUGAGUGAACUUGAGAACAAUGGGGUGACUUUGGCCUCACGUUGAUGCAACCAAAACCAGAAUCUUGACCCAUGGAUACAGCAAUCUGCAAAAUACUGCAUUAGUUUGCUCUCUAGUUUGCAAGGUAAUACACAGUUCGGGUAUUUGGUAAAAUAAAGUGAAGCUUUUGGAAAAACGCAACAGAUUUCUGUACCUAUACAUUAAUGUUUGUCUAAGUAUCUGUCUAGACACCCAUAGUUAACUACAAUCACAAUGUGCAUGCGUAAACGAUAUGGUACAGUAGACCAUGAGAUUAUACAUUUAUCCUCAUUUGUGAAGGUGGAUGCCUAGAACCCAUGAAUGGAGAAAGGUAUGUUAUAAAGUAUUUAAUCCUAAUCAAUACUUAUUAAAGCAGACAAAGUUAACAGUAAGUCAAAUCUGCAGUACUUUAGGAAAAAAGCAGCAAGCUGGAUUUCUUAUCUUGCAAUAGUUAAUGAAGUUUUAUGAUUUAUUUUAACCCUGAACUGGGCUUUAAAAAACCUUAAUUGUAUUAAUGUACUAAAAGAAAUACAAUUUUCACUUACUUUCAUUAAGCAUGACAGGUGACAGUUCCAAAGAUAAAUGCUGAAACUUGUGAAAAUUGCAAGUUCAGGUUGAAUUGACAAUAAUAUGGUCGUAAUGGGAUGGAAUUGUGCUGCUUACUGCAUUAAUACCACAAUUUAUUUUUUAAUGUAUGAAGAAUAUUUAAUUUAAUUAAUUUAUUACUAGGUUCUUUCUUCUUAAGUCUUCCUUUCAGUCUUUGGAUUUUGGUUUCAUUUUAAAACAUCCUGGCUAUUUAUAAAUCCACAGCUAAUCGCAUAAAAUAUCAGUGUUGGGAAGGAAUCAGUUUUCUGCAUGCCAUGUGCAAUUUGGGAGACUGAUAAUAUAACUAAAUCAAUUAAAGGGGACGUGGCUCUAUUAAGACUGAAAAAGUUGUACUAUUGUCACCUGUGCUAGACUCUCUGCAAAAUCAGAAGAUUUAAACUUGUUCAGUUUAUGAUAUGUCACUUAUCUUUGUAAAACACAGGCUACACCUGCAAUGCCCUAGCAAAACCUAGCUUUUUUAUUUCCAUUUGUAAAUAUGUACACUACUGUACCAAGUCAGUGUUAUAUUUAGAUUAGCAGAGCCUAUAUCAUGGUGUCAGAGAUCUGAAGCUCUUGAACUGGGACUGAGAGGAUACUACCAUAAAAUAUUUUCAUUGCAACUUUAUCAUUCAAAAUACACACACACACUCCAUGCUGCCAUGCACAGACAGGGUUUGCUUGUGUUGUACUUUUGUGAUAACCCAUGUAGUUGAGUUGUAGCACUUUGGGAUAAGCAAGCAGUUAAAAAAUUUAAUUUCUAAUGCAGUUAAUGAGUAGUUGUAAAGGUGUGUGUACAGUAGACGUUUAUGGAGAGCUAUCAGCAAGAAUGCUUACAGCACCUAGAAUAAGCAAAUAUUUGGACUUCUUUAGGGAUAAAGAACAUAUAGAUGGCAAUUGAUACAUAAGUUUAAACUUCAGAAAUUACAAUUAUGAAACCAUUAAAGCAAUCUCCUUCACAGUUCUAUAAAAUCAAUAUGGGAAGGGUUUCUGCAGCAGACCUUUAGCUGUGGUUUGGGAUACAAAACCCUUUUCAAGUAAAAAUGCAGGCAGUUUUGAGUAUCAGACAGUUCUGAGAACUAACCCUGUCAACAGGGGUUGAGCUUGUCUUUGACACCAUUAGGGACAAGAAAUAAUGUAAACAUUUUCGUGUUGAAUGUAAAUGAAUAUAUUAAGUCAAGUGUAAAUGACCAUGAACCUGUUGGUAGCUUUCUCUGCUAAUAUCACAUAUUUCUGCUCUCUGCAUGUUGUAUAAGCUUUCAGUUAUGGACUUGCAGCUUAUAGUGCUCUUUACAUUUCCUGUACAUCUGGCUCAUUAUUCUCGUGACCUACCAAAAUUCACAUAUAAAUUGGUAAUGUCUCUUAAAUUUAUUAAUCCAGUUUGAUUAAGAGACAAUGUUCAUAGUGGAGGAGUAUAUGAGGCAAUUUAUGGCUUUUGAGGGUGAUUAAAUGCUGAAGUGGAGCCAAGGCAUCUGAUAAUCACAAGAGCUAUUUAUUGCUGGAAUAUUCCAGCCACAAGAACAUUUUUCCCAUCAGUCAGUAAAAGAAGCACAUUUUAAAAACAACAUUAAAAAGGCAGAUUUUUUCUAGGUAAAGGAAGGUUUGAAAUGCCGUAUGUAACUGCAGUUGAGAGCCCCCGCUUGUGUCCUGUGAAGGGCAGUUAUAAGUAGGGUGUGUAUAGAAUUCAGAAGGUAUAUGUUCCUCUCCCUAAGAGCCGGGCUAAAGGACAAGUAAUUGCAUGAGGGAUUUACCUGUGUAGAAACCGAGGGCUGAGGCUGAAGUGUGAACAUGCGUGAUUUGCAUUAGAAUUUAUAACUCAUUUUCAUACUGCUACUGUAAAUGAGUAACAAUUAUCAUCUGCCAAACUGGCCUGUUAGCACAUGUUGGAAACAAGUCCAGAGUGGCUGCAAUUCUCUGGUCUCAUGGGAACAGACCUGUUUUAUUUAUACCUCCAAAAAUAUAAAUGAGUUAAGGAAUGACGCCUUAGGAAGAGGCCACUGCAGAAUUAAGAGAAGGAGGAUUCUGGUGGAAAACCUUUACAAGAGCUUGGAUUGGAAGUUGGAGUUGAGGGUUUGGAGCAUUUUUUUGAUGUUGGCUUAUUUGGUUUUGUUUUUAUAGGUGAUGCCGUGAGUCACCAGUAAAAGGCCUAUGCAGAGAUACUACUUCAUAUUUAUUUAGAUAGCAGAUAGCAGGAGAAAUCAUUCACAGAUCCCAUACAGUAGCAUGCUGUACACAAAAUAGCCAGGUUUGGUUAUUUUAUAUUUUUACAGAGAAGGUGUCGCUGGUUCUCAUGUGAAAACCAGGUAACAUCUUCUGCAGCUGAACUACUAAACACAAAGAUGCUAGGCCGUAACCAGAUGACUUCCAGAACUGGGGAAACCAAUCUGUAGAUGCCCAGUGACAUUUCUGAUCACCAUUCUCCUUCAACCUGUUCCUCUGAACUCGUAUGCCUCAGUCCAAGGCUGUGUAAAAUCCAACCUUCUUUUAAUUUACUGGAAAUGGAGAAGGAAGGUGGAAGGAAGAAGCUGAAGAGUUGGGCAGGCAGGUUUGGGGAGUCUGUCCAAGCAGACUACAGAGAAAGCAGUUUAUUUCCACUGGUAAGCUGGCACCUCCUUAACCAUUAGUCAUAAAAAAAAAUGUAGCAUUUGUCCUUCUCACUUCACCUACAGAGAAAUAGAAAAGGAGGUCUCGUUUGCCCCAACAGUUCUCUGUCUUCAGCUUUCUGACGUUCUCACUUCAUAACUACUAGCAAGGAUUCACAGAGAUAAAAGGGAAGAUAUCUGAAUUACUGAAAAUACUCUUUUUAAACAGCACCCUUGCAAGGGCUGGAGAUAGACUAUUGCUGCACAGUAAAAAACAAAAACAAAAACAACAGUACUUUUAUUUACAGCUGUUAGAUGUCUAAUUUCAAUGUCUAGUUU
Molecule: long non-coding RNA, 6219 nt
Organism: Falco peregrinus (peregrine falcon)
Lineage: Eukaryota; Metazoa; Chordata; Aves; Falconiformes; Falconidae
Exons: 3
Source: RefSeq, a predicted model, not a curated record